GCUAGGAUAGCUCAGUUGUUAAGUACGAGACUCUUAAUCUCAGGGUCGUGGGUUCAAGCCCCACAUUGGGCA
Podarcis lilfordi (Lilford's wall lizard) is the source of this 72-nucleotide non-coding RNA. The record is from the annotation of a GenBank genome assembly. NCBI's taxonomy places the organism in Eukaryota, Metazoa, Chordata, Lepidosauria, Squamata, Lacertidae.